RNAcentral lists this ribosomal RNA (421 nucleotides) under uncultured bacterium. RNAcentral describes it as "partial 16S ribosomal RNA". It matches the Rfam family "Bacterial small subunit ribosomal RNA", at positions 360 to 773 of the family's 1533-position model. The record is from RNAcentral.
AAUAUUGGACCAUGGGCGAAAGCCCUAUCCAGCCAUGCCGCGUGUGUGAAGAAGGUCUUUGGAUUGUAUAGCACUUUAUGUUGGGGGGACGGGCUUUAGGUUAUUUCCCUGAAUCUUUGACGUUACCAACAGAACAAGCACCGGCUCACUUCCUUCCAGCAGCCGCGGUAAUACGAAGGGUGCAAGCGUUAAUCGGAAUUACUGGGCGUAAAGCGCGCGUAGGUGGUUUGUUAAGUUGGAAGUGAAAGCCCUGGGCUCAACCUGGGAACUGCUUUCAAAACUGGCAAGCUAGAGUAUGGCAGAGGGUGGUGGAAUUUCCUGUGUAGCGGUGAAAUGCGUAGAUAUAGGAAGGAACACCAGUGGCGAAGGCGACUACCUGGACUGAUACUGACACUGAGGUGCGAAAGCGUGGGGAGCAAAC